Molecule: ribosomal RNA, 390 nt
Filed under: uncultured bacterium
Lineage: Bacteria
Description: bacterial SSU rRNA
Rfam family: Bacterial small subunit ribosomal RNA
Source: RNAcentral
GACGAACGCUGGCGGCGUGCUUAACACAUGCAAGUCGAGCGGUAAGGCCCUUUCGGGGGUACACGAGCGGCGAACGGGUGAGUAACACGUGGGUGACCUGCCCUCAGCUCUGGGAUAAGCCUGGGAAACUGGGUCUAAUACCGGAUAUGACUCCAUGACGCAUGUUGUGGGGUGGAAAGCCUUGUGCGGCUGAGGAUGGGCCCGCGGCCUAUCAGCUUGUUGGUGGGGNGAUGGCCUACCAAGGCGACGACGGGUAGCCGGCCUGAGAGGGCGACCGGCCACACUGGGACUGAGACGCGGCCCAGACUCCUACGGGAGGCAGCAGUGGGGAAUAUUGCGCAAUGGGCGGAAGCCUGACGCAGCGACGCCGCGUGAAGGAUGACGGCCUGG